RNAcentral lists this ribosomal RNA (460 nucleotides) under uncultured Saprospiraceae bacterium. RNAcentral describes it as "bacterial SSU rRNA". It matches the Rfam family "Bacterial small subunit ribosomal RNA", at positions 338 to 795 of the family's 1533-position model. The record is from RNAcentral. Lineage: Bacteria; Pseudomonadati; Bacteroidota; Saprospiria; Saprospirales; Saprospiraceae.
CCUACGGGAGGCUGCAGUAAGGAAUAUUGGUCAAUGGACGGAAGUCUGAACCAGCCAUCCCGCGUGCAGGAUGAAGGUCCUAUGGAUUGUAAACUGCUUUUAGCAGAGACGAAGACCCAUCAUUUAUGAUGGAGUGACGGUAUCUGCGGAAUAAGCACCGGCUAACUCCGUGCCAGCAGCCGCGGUAAUACGGAGGGUGCAAGCGUUAUCCGGAAUCACUGGGUUUAAAGGGUGCGUAGGCGGAGAAUUAAGUCAGUGGUGAAAUCCUGUCGCUUAACGAUAGAACUGCCAUUGAUACUGAUUUUCUUGAAUUGGGUUGAGGUUAGCGGAAUGUGACAUGUAGCGGUGAAAUGCAUAGAUAUGUCAUGGAACACCAAUUGCGAAGGCAGCUAACUGGGCCUUGAUUGACGCUGAGGCACGAAAGCGUGGGUAGCGAACAGGAUUAGAUACCCCGGUAGUC